UGGGGAAUAUUGGACAAUGGGCGAAAGCCUGAUCCAGCAAUGCCGCGUGAGUGAUGAAGGCCUUAGGGUUGUAAAGCUCUUUUUACCAGGGAUGAUAAUGACAGUACCUGGAGAAUAAGCUCCGGCUAACUCCGUGCCAGCAGCCGCGGUAAUACGGAGGGAGCUAGCGUUGUUCGGAAUUACUGGGCGUAAAGCGUACGUAGGCGGUGACUCAAGUCAGAGGUGAAAGCCUGGAGCUCAACUCCAGAACUGCCUUUGAAACUAGGUCGCUAGAAUCACGGAGAGGUGAGUGGAAUUCCGAGUGUAGAGGUGAAAUUCGUAGAUAUUCGGAAGAACACCAGUGGCGAAGGCGGCUCACUGGACGUGUAUUGACGCCGAGGUACGAAAGCGUGGGGAGCAAACAGGAUUAGAUACCCUCGUAGUCCCUGAGCGGGCUGGCAAGGCGCAU
RNAcentral lists this ribosomal RNA (448 nucleotides) under uncultured bacterium. Its description in RNAcentral is "bacterial SSU rRNA". It matches the Rfam family "Bacterial small subunit ribosomal RNA", at positions 355 to 825 of the family's 1533-position model. The record is from RNAcentral.